AGAAGCCAGCUAGCAGAGUGCUGGUAGCAUUCUGUAAUUUUGCAAAUGAGGCAAACUUGAAAUUAAGAAAUGUAACCUCAAUGGCUGGAAGAGGGCUCGCCUAUCACAAUAGUACUCACCAGGGAAGACGGACUCAAAUAUUACAGGAUGACGCAGACUGUUCAUCAAAUGGAAUUUAAAAAUGGACCUUUCUGUUUAUACAGAUUUGCUAUAUUUAUUUCUGUAUAUAGCUGAUUUGCUAUAUAUUGUCACCAAAAAUGACAGAAAUUAUUCACAUUUCUGUCAUUUUUGUGAUGUCAGGAAGACUGCUGGGAUGAGAAGGAGGGGAAGGACUUGAAGCCAGGAUAAAUCCCACAGAUCAUCUCAUCACAGCCUAUUAGGCUCUGGCUUUAGCUUUACUCAUGAACUUUCUGUCCCAGAAAUUCUUGUAGAGCUUACAGGACAAAGAGGAGGUUGUGCUAAAGGAAAAGUAGGAUCAAUGCAUAUGUAUGCCAAGAACUUCUACAGGAGCCAUGGCAUUGUCAGAGCUCAGGUCUCCUGGGAGCUGGUAUUGGCUUGGCCUGUGAGUAUAACGGAAAAGAUGAGGUCUGAAUGACUUUAUAUUUGAGGCCUACAAUAUAGCCGCUUUGUGGAAAUUACCUCCUAUUUUCAUCUGUGAGAAUAAAACUGCUAUGGAAUAAGAGCAUCUGUUGAGACAGCAGCACCUAGCACUGAUUACUAUAAGACAGGCAAUUUUGUACCUGGACUAAGGAUAGACAGAAUGAAUAUUCUAUGUGUCCAUGAGGCAACAAAGUUUGCCUGUUGUAUAUUUGGAAAGGGGACCAUACUGAUGAAGCUGCAGACUUACCAUUAUCAAGGCACAGUGUAAGUGAUCCUGGAGUCAGCUGUACACAAGAAGAAAUUCAAGAAGCAAGAGGACUGACUCUAUUAUGCUUCUCAAAGAUAAAAUGGUAAAUAGCAAUCUUGCCAAUGUUAAAGAACAACUGAUCCCAAACUACCUUUGGAAGAAUUAGGCCGUUACAUUUAUUGCAUUUUGAAGUUUAUGAUGUAAAUCAGUGGAUCCAGUUUAA
This 1070-nucleotide long non-coding RNA is filed under the name Homo sapiens (human). Its description in RNAcentral is "non-protein coding lnc-DENND6A-1:2". Lineage: Eukaryota; Metazoa; Chordata; Mammalia; Primates; Hominidae. The record is from RNAcentral.